Non-coding RNA from Arachis ipaensis, 152 nucleotides. The record is from RefSeq and is a predicted model, not a curated record. NCBI's taxonomy places the organism in Eukaryota, Viridiplantae, Streptophyta, Magnoliopsida, Fabales, Fabaceae.
UCCCUUCAGCAAGGAUAUAAUGAGGGAAAAAGUGAUGGUGAUUCUUGUUGGGAUCCAAAGUGAUGGAACAAUCAAUCCUCUUGUAGUAUUUGGGCUUCACCAAUUUGCCAAGAACGUAGGCCUUGGAUCUAACCACAAAGCUGAGUUUCAAU